GAAAUGCGAUAAGUAGUGUGAAUUACAGAAUUCAGUGAAUCAUCGAAUCUUUGAACGCACAUUGCGCCCCUUGGUAUUCCAUGGGGCAUGCCUGUUCGAGCGUCAUUUGUACCCUCAAGCUCUGCUUGGUGUUGGGUGUUUGUCCCGUCUCCGCGCGUGGACUCGCCCCAAAGUGAUUGGCAGCCGGCGUACUGGUCCCGGAGCGCAGCACAUGUCGCGCAAACGAGUGCCUUGGUACGGCGGCGUCCAUAAGCCCCUCUCUCACGCUCUUGACCUCGGAUCAGGUAGGGAUACCCGCUGAACUUAAGC
This 309-nucleotide unclassified non-coding RNA is filed under the name plant metagenome. RNAcentral describes it as "partial contains 5.8S ribosomal RNA, internal transcribed spacer 2, and large subunit ribosomal RNA". The stretch from base 1 to 105 matches the Rfam family "5.8S ribosomal RNA", at positions 50 to 154 of the family's 154-position model. The record is from RNAcentral.